This 3994-nucleotide long non-coding RNA is filed under the name Sus scrofa (pig). RNAcentral describes it as "lncRNA (ENSSSCG00000062124.1)". The record is from RNAcentral. Lineage: Eukaryota; Metazoa; Chordata; Mammalia; Artiodactyla; Suidae.
CAUAUUCUGAAGUUAAAAAUUUUACUGUUCAAUACUAAAUAGUUAAACAGUUACUUUUAAAAUGGAAUUACGGAACAAUGGGGGAUGUCAUUGCAGAUUUUGACUGGCUCUUGCUUUGAAUAAUUUCAGAUUCUUACUUGUUGCUGUCAUUUUCUCACCUUGCAUUAUAUAGAACAUACAUUUUAAAAUGUCAGAAUUUUUUGUCUGACUUAGAUGCACACACCAGAAGUGUCUGGAAAAGAGUAGAUGAAACAGCACUUGGAAGAGACUUUGGCCAGGAGAUGGAAUUUUAUUUGAUCUUAAUACCAAAUGACUUUUAAAAUGAAAUGAGAAGUUUCAGUUUUCCACUUUUCAAUUCUUUUGGCAAGAUAUGAUUCAGAGAAAUCCAAGAGGAGUGCAUUGAGUGGGAUGAUGUAAUGUGAGAUGCCAAGAACACUGAUGACUUAAGAAUGGAAAAAAUAGAAAACUGCUUGAAGGUUCGAGCAAUUCAAAUAUUGAGAAAGAAAUAUCUCAUUCAAUUUGAUGAGAAGGAAAUUUUGGUGAUUUUAUUUCUUUUAGUAUAGAAAUGGGUUAAUUUUAGAAGUCUGCAUUUCACCUGGGAGUACAGCCCCCGCUUAACAAAGCAGGCAUUUCACAUGAACCUCCUACCCAUUUGUAAAGCUUUAAAAGUCCAGAGAAAGAAUGAUGAACUGAUAAGCAAAAAACUCACAAAAUUAAUCCUAAGAAGGAAAUAUUUCCCUUAAAUGCCUAUAAGCACUGUUAGAUGUCUGAGGAACCACAGCACGGUAGGGAAGUUUUUGUUCUGCAAAUAAGAAUUUUUAUUCAAAAUACUUACGAAAGCCCUCGCUCUUCAGUUUUUAUGUGUGAGGGCAAAUUAUAUCUGCACUGGACUCUUAUCUGGAUGAUGACUAUUUAAAGUUGAGCACUGAGGCUUUAUUUAGAUCUAGAAUAAACAUAAUCUUCUCAAAGGACCUUAUUUUUUAAAUCGUAUGUCUCCUUGACUCCCUCGGUUUUAUGAAAUCAUCUAAUAUUCUUAACCUACACAUUUUCUAGAAUCCUCCUAGAAGGGGAUUCUUCUUUUGUUUGUGUGUGACAUGUGAAAUUAAAUGUAAUUCACUUUCAGUGUCAUAAACAAACUACCACUGGAAUACAGCCACCUCAUUUGCUACAGAUCAUCCGGUCUGCUUUGCUCGACAACAGCAAAGAAAUUGGGUAAUCUUCACAGGACCCUGUGGCCACGAAACCUAAAAUAUUGUCUUUCAUUUUCUGCAAAGUUUACAGACCCUUAUUGUAGAUGAGUAUGUGUCAAACUCUAGUGUACAUACCCAUCACCUGGGGAUCUUAUUAAAAUGUAGAUUCUGGUAAUCUGAUCAGUGGUAUUCUGUCCAGUGGUUAAUGAGAAGACCUGGGAAAGAGAUACAGCCUUCAGCACUUUCUCUCCUAGAGGCUGCAGGUCUUUUCCUUCCCACCUCUAUUCCCUUAUUGGUCAUCAGGACCCAGAGGAAUGAGAGUCAGACAGACAGAUCUAGGCUGGGUGCCGCCACAUGGAGAGAAGGUUAGCCAGUAUGAUCCCCUUGUCAGCCCAGCUAGUUGAGAAGACCUGGGCAGGAUGGAGUAGCAAGUGUGUGUGGAGGGAACUGACCUGCUCCCUACCAGCUCAAUAUGACAUCUUCUUCUCCCCUACUUUGCCUAAAACCCCAUCAUUACAUCCCUGUAGGUGUAGGAUAGGAUUCCUUUCUGUCUCUGUUGCCCAGGCUGACAUAGUGAGAACUUCUGGCUCUCUUCUCCUUCACAUUUUUCACUUUAUCCUUUUCCUCUAUUUCUUCAUAAACAACAUAAGAAAUGAAGGAUGAGAAAUCUCAACAGAUAUGGCAGAAUACAAAAAACUGUAAGAGAAUACUAUGAACAAUGAACAAUUAUAUGCCAACAGAUUUGACAACCUAGAAGAAAUGGACAACUUUCUAGUGAUAUACAGCCUGCUAAAACUGAAUCAAGAUGAAACAGAUAAUUUGAACAGACCAAUCACUAGAAAUGAAAUUGAAUAUGUCAUAAAAACACUGCCUGCAAACAAAAGUCCAGGACCAGAUGGCUUCACAGGUGAAUUUUACCAAACAUACAAGGAAGAACUUAUACCCAUCUUUCUUAAACUUUUUCAAAAGAUUGAAGAAGGGACACUCCCAAAGACAUUCUAUUAAGCCAUCAGCUGCUAUUUUUAUAUGGAGAACUUCCAAAAUAUUUGACCAGGCUUUUUACUGAGUACUGGUUUGCCCUCUUGUGAUUUCUCCUUGGAUGGAUCAGAUUUAACAUUCAAGUUUCAUCAAUUCAGAUGAAAUAUUCUCCCAAAUGGGUUCAUCAGCUCAAGCCCGCUUCUUUUCCAGUGGUCUCUCUAAUAGGAAAUGGUGGGCACCUUCCAGUCAGCUAUUCAUGCCACAGAUCUGGCAGUUGGCUUUGCUUCUCCCUCUUUCUUGACCUCCCUGACCUAUUAUUAUUACCACCUCCUAAAUAUCUUUGGAAUCCAUCCACUUCUGUCCUUUCUCACUGUCACCAUUAUAAUCUAAGCAUCAUUUGUCCCCUGUUUUGCAGUUGUUUUCUAUAGAAAUCCCUACAUCUAAUUUUGCCAAACUAAAAUCACUUGUCUUCACUAUGGCUGGAGUAAUCUGUUUAAAAUGAAAGCAUGAUAUCUCACUUCCUUAGAAUGAGGUCCAAACUCCUUAUUAUGAUCUGCAGGUCCUGCAUACCUGGCCCCAGUCCAAGUCUCUGGCCUCUCUCAUUCCUUAUUCCCUUGCUUCCUGGGUUCUGCCAUAUUAGAUUUUCUUCCAUGUUCUAUUUCAGCCAAGUGCUUUAAACAUAUGUGCUUAUAAUCUAAUUUCAUAAUACCGCAGAUAAUCUAUCUGAACACAUAUUAUUACGGCCCUCAGUAGAGCAUAAAUGCUUCCCAUGGGGGUACUGUGCAAACCAAAGUUAGGAGCAGAAUUAAGUUAGGUGCCUAAGCAGAAGAUAAGCUUCCUGCUUAGACAUGUGACAUGUUAUGGGCUCAGAUGGAAGAAGAGUACAAGAGAGAUUCCAGAUCCCUGUGCCCCUCACAUUGCUGAGGAAAUGAGUCCCCAGCUGUAGCCACACUUCUAAAUGAGACAUGGAGGCAGCAUUCAUUAUCAGACACAAUUCCACUACACAGAUUUUCCCUUUAAGGAUGUUUUGGGAUUUAGUUGUUCUUCCCAGGCCAUAGAGGAAUUGUCUCAAAGUGUCUCAGCCUCAGUAAUGCUCGUGGCUCCAUUCUUACGCUCAAUGUAAAGUGUCAAUUUAUUGAGAAUUUUCUGUGACAGUAAAUAUUAAUUAUAAUCCUUGAUUCAAUAAUAUCCAAGAGUUUUUGAUUUAUUGAAUGAUACGUAAUUCUUAUCUAACCAUAUAACAUGCCAUUGUUAACACUGUUUUCAGACGAGGAAGUUCAGGUUAAGUAACUUGUCCCGAGACAUUAUGUAGAGGAACCUGAACCUGAAAACUUUAUUGAGAAAUAGCUUGUUUUCCUGAAUGUAGGCUCAUACUGAAGAGCAGUGAGAAAUUUAGCAGCCUUUUUCUUACAAGUCACCCCAGCCCACAUCCCCAUUCCAGGCUUGACCAGGCUUCUCAGGUGCUCUGAGUUCUCCUCGACACUCACAUCUCAUAGUUCACCAUCUGUGUGUUCCACUUGGAGGGAGGUCAGUGGUCUAAGUGUGGAUUUUCCUUUGUCUGUUGGAGGGCAUUUUGCCCCUUAAGAAUAUUAGUGUGGAAGUUCCAGUUGUGGCUCAGUGGUAACGAGCCUGACUUGUAACCAUGAGGUUGCGGAUUCUAUCCCUGGCCUUGCUCAGUGGGUUGAGGAUCCAGCAUUGCUGUGAGCUGUGGCGUAUGUUACAGAUGAGGCUUAGACCCUGUGUGGCUGUGGCUGUGGCUGUGACCAGGGCUGCAGCCUGAUAUACCCCCUAGCCUGGGGACUUACAUAUGCCAUAGGUGCAACCCU